Lynx canadensis (Canada lynx) is the source of this 1592-nucleotide long non-coding RNA. RefSeq lists it as uncharacterized. The transcript is spliced from 2 exons. Lineage: Eukaryota; Metazoa; Chordata; Mammalia; Carnivora; Felidae. The record is from RefSeq and is a predicted model, not a curated record.
AACAUCCAGGCCCGCAGGGAGCUCCCAUGGGAGGGAGGGGGGUUGACCGUGGGGGACCCAAACGGGGUUUGUCUCCAGACUCCACUGGACACCUCAAGCGAUGGACCCUCAGCUUCCCCUUCUGUAACAGGGGGAGAAGAGUGAAGUCUGGGGAAGAAAGCCACGUGGUGGGCUCAGAGGCAGAGGGAGGGUUGGCCCAGGCUAGGGGUGGGGUGGCCCAGCUGGAAAGGUCUUGGGAGGUGCAGGCAGAGACUAGCCUGAGGUGGAGGCUGGGGGUGAUGAGGGAAUAACCCAGACGUUCAGGCCUUGCAGGGCCUCAAAUACCAGGCAUGACACAGGACCUGAUCCCACGGGAGGAAAUGCCCAAACCUGGCCCAGAUCACAGCCAAGUCCCCAGCUCCCCAGCUCUGCCUCCUUCCGGUCUGGGAGAAGCCCCAGCCUCCCAGCCUGGUGUCCAUGGCAGCAGCUUUGGGCGGGGGCGAGGGGGUUCCCUAAAGUCCCCACGACUGGAUGGUCCUGCCAAUUCUCUUUGAACCCUUUGCAAAACCCAUUUCUGUGAUGUCUCUGGAAGAGGAAGCCCUGGCGAAGAAAUAAUCCCAAAUUGCUACAAGUUUUCCAGUGGUUACUAGGCCCCAGCCUGAUUGGAUGAAUUCCCAGAGGUUAUCAUCACUCGGGAUAACAUCCAGGUUGAGGGGUGACGGAGAAAUAAGGAAGACCCGCGGUUCCAGAUGGGGAAAGUGAGGCCCCGAGAAACGCAGAGGCUCCACCAAGGCAUUUUCUAGGUCCUGACUAAGCUGCUCCCGGGAGGCUGGCUGGUGCCUUCCUUUUUUGAAAACACAUGCACUGAUUUCUGCCUUUAGGGCAGUUCCGGGUGCUGAGUGACUGCUCUGUGACCUGGAAGCAGACGGCUGUCCCUAUGGCCUCGCCGCCGCCCCUCCACGCCUGGGUCUCCCCACGUGUGCAGGCCUGUGGUACCUGGGAGGUGCGUGUGUACUCCUCGUAGAGCUGGUCGUACUCGCGGCUCUUGUCCUGGUACUGCUGGUGAUAGACUUUGAGCUGGGCGCCCACCGCCUCCACGCUGUCCUCCUUGACGAUCUGGUCCUAGGGACACCCGGGGUGAUCAGAGAAGCGGCCUGGGACACUUGUGCCGGAGGCUGGCACUGUCCUCCCACCCUGGCCGCAGACCUGCUGGUACUUGGACACUGGGUAGAGGAGCCGUGUGUCCAGUUUGGCAUUGUACUGGGCCAGCGACUCGUGGCGGUAGUGGGUGAUGAGGUCCACAACGGAGCAGAAGGUGAGCGGCUCUGAGAAGCCAUAGUGCCCGUCACGAUGGAAGACCUUAAUCAGCUUGUUGUUCCCGCCUUUCCUAGGGGCGGGCGAGAGGGGUGUCAGCAGCCCGUGGGAUCCCCAGCCGUCCGGACACCGCACGUGCCCCACUCUCCAGGCAACCCCCUGUCCUUCCGCCCUGGGUGUCCUCCCUCCCACCUCUCACACCCAGUCACCCCGGAAGGGGCAGGCCCCCACCUGAGGGUCAGUGUGUAUUCCCCCUGGAUCUUGCUGGAUGCAUCUCGGACCAGAAAGGUGCCGUCGGG